GGAGUCGGCCAGGCAGCCGCGUCGCCCCACGGGGCGCCGAGGAAAGUCCGGGCUCCACAGGGCAAGGUGCCAGGUAACGCCUGGGCGGCGCAAGCCGACGGAAAGUGCAACAGAGAGCAGACCGCCGAUGGCCGGUUGCGCCUGGCGCAGCCGGAUCAGGCAAGGGUGAAACGGUGCGGCAAGAGCGCACCGCGAGUCUGGCAACAGACCGGCACGGCAAACCCCACCUGGAGCAAGACCGAAUAGGGGAACCAUGGCGUGGCCCGCGCCGUUCCCGGGUUGGUCGCUCGAGCCUUGCGGCGACGCAAGGCCUAGAGGAAUGGCUGCCCACGACAGAACCCGGCUUAUCGGCCGGCUCCCGCA
RNAcentral lists this RNase P RNA (363 nucleotides) under Lysobacterales bacterium. RNAcentral describes it as "RNase P RNA component class A". It matches the Rfam family "Bacterial RNase P class A". Rfam says of the family: Ribonuclease P (RNase P) is a ubiquitous endoribonuclease, found in archaea, bacteria and eukarya as well as chloroplasts and mitochondria. Its best characterised activity is the generation of mature 5'-ends of tRNAs by cleaving the 5'-leader elements of precursor-tRNAs. Cellular RNase Ps are ribonucleoproteins. Lineage: Bacteria; Pseudomonadati; Pseudomonadota; Gammaproteobacteria; Lysobacterales. The record is from RNAcentral.